AUGAACGCUGGCGGCGUGGAUAAGGCAUGCAAGUCAAGGGGACCGCAAGGUAACCGGCAGACGAGGUAGUAAUACGCAGGAACGCACCCGAAAGUCGAGGAUAGCUCGCCGAAAGGCGGGGUAACCCCCGAUGUGAUGGAAACAUCAAAAAUUUAUUGCUUUCGGAGCGGCCUACGGGCUAUCAGCUUGUUGGUAGGGUAAUGGCCUACCAAGGCGAUGACGGCUAGGGGAGCUGAGAGGCUGACCCCCACCGAUGGUACUGAGAUACGGACCAUACACCUACGGGUGGCUGCAGUCGAGAAUCUUCCGCAAUGGGCGAAAGCCUGACGGAGCGACGCCGCGUGAUGGAUGAAGUCCCUCUGGGACGUAAACAUCUUUUAUGAGCCACUAAGUUUAUUGAAGAGCUCAUGAAUAAGGGGUUGCUAAACUCGU
Molecule: ribosomal RNA, 432 nt
Filed under: uncultured bacterium
Lineage: Bacteria
Description: bacterial SSU rRNA
Rfam family: Bacterial small subunit ribosomal RNA
Source: RNAcentral